This 253-nucleotide ribosomal RNA is filed under the name uncultured bacterium. RNAcentral's name for it is "partial 16S ribosomal RNA". It matches the Rfam family "Bacterial small subunit ribosomal RNA", at positions 524 to 776 of the family's 1533-position model. The record is from RNAcentral.
UACGGAGGGGGCGAGCGUUAUUCGGAAUUAUUGGGCGUAAAGGGCGCGUAGGCGGCUUGAUGUGUCAAAGGUGAAACCCCUCGGCUCAACUGAGGAACUGCCUUUGAAACUGUCUGGCUUGAGGCCGGGAGAGGGUAGCGGAAUUCCCAGUGUAGCGGUGAAAUGCGUAGAUAUUGGGAGGAACACCAGUGGCGAAGGCGGCUCACUGGACCGGUACUGACGCUGAUGCGCGAAAGCGUGGGGAGCAAACGGG